GACGAACGCUGGCGGCGUGCUUAACACAUGCAAGUCGAACGGAAAGGCCCUGCUUUUGUGGGGUGCUCGAGUGGCGAACGGGUGAGUAACACGUGAGUAACCUGCCCUUGACUUUGGGAUAACUUCAGGAAACUGGGGCUACUACCGGAUAGGAGCUCCUGCUGCAUGGUGGGGGUUGGAACGUUUCGGCGGUUGGGGAUGGAUUCGCGGCUUAUCAGUUUGUUGGUGGGGUAGUGGCUUACCAAGGCUUUGACGGGUAGCCGGCAUGAGAGGGUGACCGGCCACAAUGGGACUGAGAUACGGCCCAGACUCCUACGUGAGGCAGUAGGCGGGAAUAUUGCACAAUGGGCGCAAGCCUGAUGCAGCAACGCCGCGGGCGGGAUGACGGCCUUCGGGUUGUAAACCGCUUUCGCCUGUUACGAAGCGUGAGUGACGGUAAUGAAUAAAGAAGCACCGGCUAACUACGUG
Molecule: ribosomal RNA, 468 nt
Filed under: uncultured bacterium
Lineage: Bacteria
Description: partial 16S ribosomal RNA
Rfam family: Bacterial small subunit ribosomal RNA
Source: RNAcentral